Numida meleagris (helmeted guineafowl) is the source of this 890-nucleotide long non-coding RNA. RefSeq lists it as uncharacterized. Lineage: Eukaryota; Metazoa; Chordata; Aves; Galliformes; Numididae. The transcript has 2 exons. The record is from RefSeq and is a predicted model, not a curated record.
CUAAUGAGCUUUCCCAAAUGUCACCUGCCAGUGAUCUUCACAGAGCUGGAAGGAUCAGCCCGUGCACCCCCAGGAGGUGCACCUCCCCAUCCCCACAAGCUGCCUGCCAAAAUCACCAUACCAGCGACACCUGCCAUAUGCAAAGCAAGCACAGCAGGGAGAUGAGGGGUGGAGGAGUGCUCGGAGGCAUUCACAGGUGGAGAAGGUUAACAUCUCCCUGUGGGGUCCAAUUACUCAUUUCUGAAUGUGUUGCUUCUCCCUCCUAUGGGCUGAGGCACUGCUGCUGAUGGUUGUGGGGUGGCUUCCCUGGUGAGUUCCAGCACGAGAGUCACGUGCAGAUGUGCUUUCCACCAUUGCCCACUCCAGUAAAGGAAAUCUUGAUUUCAGUGAAUGCGACAACUCCCAGUCAAGCUUGAUGAUUUAUUUCUUCUCUUUGUUGUUCAAUCCCCUCGAUCUGGAUGCCAUGUUCAGUGAAGAGCCUUACCCAGACGCAUUAGAUAAUUCAUGUGAAGACUCAUUUGUAGUAGUUAAAAGCAUACGUGUGCUAGCGGUGGGAUAUUUAGGAAAUCUAAGAAUCCAACAGCUUGUUUCUCAUCCAUCUGUACUGGAUGUGUCAGCAUACACUCUUGUAAAGUGAUGAAGUGAAAAAAGAAGUCUGCUAUUUCAGUACGUGGUCCUAAGCAACAAAUAAAACGGGCCGCGUUCCCUCCCCUGAAACACUUGCAAGUUUAGCUCUGUAAAGGUUAAAUAAUUGGUUUAACCUGAUCCCUCUAUGCCUCUCUUCCACCUUGUGGGAAAACUCCUGUAAGCUUAUUGUAAACAUAAUUAUGCUGUGUGGGCUUUUCAUUAAUCUAACAAAAAACCGCAAGAUGACAUGCAUCAGACUUCUU